This 254-nucleotide ribosomal RNA is filed under the name uncultured bacterium. RNAcentral's name for it is "partial 16S ribosomal RNA". It matches the Rfam family "Bacterial small subunit ribosomal RNA", at positions 524 to 776 of the family's 1533-position model. The record is from RNAcentral.
UACGUAGGGGGCGAGCGUUGUCCGAAGUUACUGGGCGUAAAGGGCGCGUAGGCGGCUACUUAAGUUUGGGGUGAAAGGUUCAACGCUCAACGUGAACAGUGCCUCGGAACCUGGGUGGCUUGAGUUGGGGAGAGGACAGUGGAAUUCCUGGUGUAGCGGUGAAAUGCGUAGAGAUCAGGAGGAACCCCGGUGGCGAAGGCGACUGUCUGGCCUGCAACUGACGCUGAGAUACGAAAGCUAGGGGAGCAAACAGG